GACGAACGCUGGCGGCGUGCUUAACACAUGCAAGUCGAACGGAAAGGCCUGCUUUCCCUUGUGGAUUGCGGGUACUCGAGUGGCGAACGGGUGAGUAACACGUGAGUGAUCUGCCCCCAACUUGGGUAUAAGCCUGGGAAACUGGGUCUAAUUCCCGAUAGGACUGCAGGGUGGUGCCUGUGGUGGAAAACGAUUUUCUAGUGGUUGGGGAUGAGCUCGCGGCCUAUCAGCUUGUUGGUGGGGUAAUGGCCUACCAAGGCGGCGACGGGUAGCCGGCCUGGGAGGGUGGACGGCCACUUUGGGACUGGGAUACGGCCCAGACUCUACGGGAGGCAGCAGUGGGGAAUAUUGCACAAUGGGCGGAAGCCUGAUGCAGCGACGCCGCGUGGGGGAUGACGGCCUUCGGGUUGUAAACUCCUUUCGACCGCGAGGAAGCCACCUGGUUGGAAGGGUGGUGACGGUAGUGGUAGAAGAAGCACCGGCUAACUACGUG
Molecule: ribosomal RNA, 493 nt
Filed under: uncultured bacterium
Lineage: Bacteria
Description: partial 16S ribosomal RNA
Rfam family: Bacterial small subunit ribosomal RNA
Source: RNAcentral